UGGUUCGGACAAUCGCGGGGCAUUUCGAUGCUUUGAGGAAAGUCCAUGCUCGCACAGCCUGCGAUGGCUGUAGUGAUCGUGCUACACAAAAAGAUAAGUGUAGGCAGCGUCAAGCUGACGGCAGAAGGAACGCCUAAGUCUUCGGAUAUGGCCGAAACUUCUUGAAGGUGCCACAGUGACGGAGCUUCAUGGGAAACCAUGAAGGUGGAACGAGGUAAACCCCACGAGCGAGAAACCCAAAUU
Molecule: RNase P RNA, 243 nt
Filed under: Exiguobacterium sp.
Lineage: Bacteria; Bacillati; Bacillota; Bacilli; Caryophanales
Description: partial RNase P RNA component class B
Rfam family: Bacterial RNase P class B
About the family: Ribonuclease P (RNase P) is a ubiquitous endoribonuclease, found in archaea, bacteria and eukarya as well as chloroplasts and mitochondria. Its best characterised activity is the generation of mature 5'-ends of tRNAs by cleaving the 5'-leader elements of precursor-tRNAs.
Source: RNAcentral